Molecule: long non-coding RNA, 588 nt
Organism: Astyanax mexicanus (Mexican tetra)
Lineage: Eukaryota; Metazoa; Chordata; Actinopteri; Characiformes; Acestrorhamphidae
Exons: 3
Source: RefSeq, a predicted model, not a curated record
CAUCACUGCGGGUAAUCAGAGACACCUGCGGUUGAAGCUGGCGGUCUUGAUCCUCGUGGUUCCAGGUUUUGAAUGUGAGGAAAUCCUUGUUGGAGAUGGCUUGGUCUGCUGUUGCAUUCUACUGCUCUGCUGUCUGUUGCCGUUUUACCGGGUGAACUAUAACCUUUUGAGGGCAUGUUUUACAGGGAUGCGACGAUUCUGAAGCUUUAUUCCUCUCAUAUUUAAUAAUUUUCGUCCAAGAUUAUUAUGUGAAUUGUUCGUUUUGUUCAUUCUGUAUGUGGUUUCACAUGGAUUUUUUCCUUAUUGUGUUUCUAUUGAUCUCUGUGAGAUAAAUCCCUGAUAGUAAAUAUAUUUAUGAUCAUUGUUCACUGUAUAUACCUACUCUUUUCAUAUUGUUUGACAUCUUUCUUUUAGCUUAUAUUUUUACAGUCUAUUCAUUUUUUACAAUUUUGUCUUGCAUACUCUUUUUACUUGUAUUGAUUUUUUUUUUCAUGUAUUCAGUCAUGAAGCAUUUCACUGCAAGUAUACUGUAUAUUACUGUAUGACUAAUAAACUCUGAACUUUUAGGCUAAUAACAGUGUGUGUCUA